This 254-nucleotide ribosomal RNA is filed under the name uncultured bacterium. RNAcentral describes it as "partial 16S ribosomal RNA". It matches the Rfam family "Bacterial small subunit ribosomal RNA", at positions 524 to 776 of the family's 1533-position model. The record is from RNAcentral.
CACGUAGGGUGCGAGCGUUGUCCGGAAUUAUUGGGCGUAAAGAGCUCGUAGGCGGUGUGUCGCGUCGGCCGUGAAAACCUGCAGCUCAACUGUGGGCUUGCGGUCGAUACGGGCAUCACUGGAGUUCGGCAGGGGAGACUGGAAUUCCUGGUGUAGCGGUGGAAUGCGUAGAGAUCCGGAAGAACACCGGUGGCGAAGGCGGUUGGCUGGGCCGUGGCUGACACUGAUGCGCGACAGCGUGGGGAGCAAACAGG